RNAcentral lists this ribosomal RNA (560 nucleotides) under Salmonella enterica. Its description in RNAcentral is "bacterial SSU rRNA". It matches the Rfam family "Bacterial small subunit ribosomal RNA", at positions 1 to 550 of the family's 1533-position model. Lineage: Bacteria; Pseudomonadati; Pseudomonadota; Gammaproteobacteria; Enterobacterales; Enterobacteriaceae. The record is from RNAcentral.
AAAUUGAAGAGUUUGAUCAUGGCUCAGAUUGAACGCUGGCGGCAGGCCUAACACAUGCAAGUCGAACGGUAACAGGAAGCAGCUUGCUGCUUUGCUGACGAGUGGCGGACGGGUGAGUAAUGUCUGGGAAACUGCCUGAUGGAGGGGGAUAACUACUGGAAACGGUGGCUAAUACCGCAUAACGUCGCAAGACCAAAGAGGGGGACCUUCGGGCCUCUUGCCAUCAGAUGUGCCCAGAUGGGAUUAGCUAGUUGGUGAGGUAACGGCUCACCAAGGCGACGAUCCCUAGCUGGUCUGAGAGGAUGGCCAGCCACACUGGAACUGAGACACGGUCCAGACUCCUACGGGAGGCAGCAGUGGGGAAUAUUGCACAAUGGGCGCAAGCCUGAUGCAGCCAUGCCGCGUGUAUGAAGAAGGCCUUCGGGUUGUAAAGUACUUUCAGCGGGGAGGAAGGUGUUGUGGUUAAUAACCGCAGCAAUUGACGUUACCCGCAGAAGAAGCACCGGCUAACUCCGUGCCAGCAGCCGCGGUAAUACGGAGGGUGCAAGCGUUAAUCGGAA